GUCUUAGUUGCUAAAGUCUCAUGACAGGUCUGUGAAAGUCUCCAUGUCUCCCGUUCCUGGCAGGUGAGAGGCCGCACACGCAGGACUGUGACACAGACGCUAAUCAGGGUGGACACACCCAGUGACAAGGACCUGUCCACCGUGCCUGUCAGUGUGGCCCUGGCAGCUGCUAGCUGGGCCUGACUGCCCACGCACAUUCUCUCCAGACAGAGCCCACGGCGGGCUGGCGCCCUGCAGCCAGAGCCUGACCCUGAGGCCACUCUCCUGCAAGGACCUCCCUUCCAGGAGGGACAGGGCCACGCUGAGGACAAGAGAGCAAUGGAGGGGAUCCGGGGAGAACGACUCUCCUUCGGGAAGCGGCUGCCUGGGGGAGGAGCCAAUGUGGAGGGAGGGCCGGUGGAGCCCUGGCUCGGCCUGGGGAAUGCGCCUGAGCGCCCCCCGCAGCCCGGCCACCACACCCAGGAAGGACCACUUCCCUUCACGCUCUGCCCUGGGAGUCCACCAAGCUGGGGCAGCCCAUGAGGCCCGAAAGCUGCUGGGCUGCUGACUUUGAGCUGAUCCUGGGCCGGCGUCCUGAGGGAAGGCCCCACCAUGGGACAGCAAGGUCAGAAAAGAGUCGCAAAGGGUCCUCGAGGGUCCCCGUGGCCUUGCCUCCUGAAUCUUCCCCUCACUGGCCUCUAGUGCCCCCUUCCCUUCCUCCUCCUCCUCUCUUGGCCCCACUUCCAACAGUCGCCUGCUCUCCUGAACCCUGACCUCCAGGGUCACGUGAGUCUUCUUGAACUGGGCUAUUUUGGCUAUACAAUUCUACAAGCUUGUCUCCACGAACACUGACCUUGGACAACCUGACGGUCAUUAAAUGUUCUUCACAGUCAUGACUCAAGGACACACGGGAUUUCCCCAGACGGCGGUCUCAUGAUCGGCUCCUCGUUGGGAGGUGCUUGUUGCCUCUGGGAUUUUGCUACAAAGAAUUAAACGUCUUUCUGCGUCCGGCCUGGGCAGGGACUCUGGUCAUUUCCUAGGAUGGCUUCCUAAGGUGGAAUUGCUGGGCCGCAGAGCAUGCGUUUACCCCAAAGGCUGUGAGUGAGUGUGGUGGGGCAGGGGGACCAUCUCAAACCGAUGGAGGAGUGGACGGAGCAGAGCAAGGACAGUUUCUGACUGGAAUGCUCCAUUUUCCCUACAAACCAGGACGCGGUGCUGUGUCAGGACAGUCAACCGCCAGCGUUGAAUCAGGGAGCCGACACCGACGCGUUGUGAUGCAUCUGGUUAACCUCAGCUCCAGCCCCAGUGGGCUCUGCCGUGUGUCCUGACACUGUCUAUACCAGCGCAGGGCCCAGUUCAGAGGCACGUGCCCCUGGUCUGUUGGCUCCUGAGUCUUGUCUUGCGGCCUGUGAUCCCAGAACAUGAGGAGAUUACGGAUCAAGGUUGGCCCUGAACUUGUUUAGGAAGAGAAUGAAGGUAGCAGAGGAAGCAGAACGGGGGCCAUCUCGACGGCGUUCGUCAGUUAGCGCCUGCAGGAAAUCUGCCCAUGGUCCACCACCAAAGAGCUUGGAAACGCCUCAUUCUCAACGUCACAUUGGUCUGUGCUCUUCUGCUGACACAGAUGGCGAUUCUCGGGCUGCACCAGCUCCUCGCAGGCUUGAGCUUCACGCUGUGGUUGACCAUCUGACACAGACGGCGAUUCUCGGGCUGCACCAGCUCCUCGCAGGCUUGAGCUUCACGCUGUGGUUGACCAUCUGGUGCAGCAGCUCGGUCCUCGAUAGCCGUCUCUCAAACACUGUGGUUCUUCGCGUUGACUUGCGCUUCCAGACAAGCUCUGCGUCACAUCGGCAGGUUUAAGAGCCGCACGUGACUUUGCUCUGACUUACGCUCAGUCUUUAAACCUGAGAGUUCUCUCUCUGUCCCGUCGUUGCCUCCAGGUGACGUGUCUCCUUCGUGAGCUUCUCCAUGUCAAGCCUCUGCCUUUCCGGGAAACGUUCUCAUUCUACCACUGAUUUCCCGCCGCUCUCUCAAUGUCCCAG
This 2018-nucleotide long non-coding RNA is filed under the name Equus caballus (horse). Its description in RNAcentral is "lncRNA (ENSECAG00000048130.1)". The record is from RNAcentral. Lineage: Eukaryota; Metazoa; Chordata; Mammalia; Perissodactyla; Equidae.